RNAcentral lists this ribosomal RNA (253 nucleotides) under uncultured bacterium. RNAcentral describes it as "partial 16S ribosomal RNA". It matches the Rfam family "Bacterial small subunit ribosomal RNA", at positions 524 to 776 of the family's 1533-position model. The record is from RNAcentral.
UACGUAGGGGGCAAGCGUUGUCCGGAAUCAUUGGGCGUAAAGAGCGUGUAGGCGGCCAGAUAAGUCCGCUGUGAAAUCUCGAGGCUCAACUUCGAGCUGUCGGUGGAAACUGUCUGGCUAGAGUCCGGAAGAGGAGAAUGGAAUUCCUGGUGUAGCGGUGAAAUGCGCAGAUAUCAGGAAGAACACCCGUGGCGAAGGCGGUUCUCUGGACAGUUCCUGACGCUGAGGCACGAAGGUCAGGGGAGCAAACGGG